GGUGAGUAACACGUGGGAACAUACCCUUCGGUUCGGAACAACGCCGGGAAACUGGAGCUAAUACCGGAUACGCCCUUUGGGGGAAAGGCUUGCCGCCGAAGGAGUGGCCCGCGUUCGAUUAGCUUGAUGGCGGGGUAACGGCCCACCAUGGCGACGAUCGAUAGCUGGUCUGAGAGGAUGGCAGCCACAUUGGGACUGAGACACGGCCCAAACUCCUACGGGAGGCAGCAGUGGGGAAUAUUGGACAAUGGGCGCAAGCCUGAUCCAGCCAUGCCGCGUGAGUGAUGACGGCCUUAGGGUUGUAAAGCUCUUUCGCACGCGACGAUAAUGACGGUAGCGUGAGAAGAAGCCCCGGCUAACUUCGUGCCAGCAGCCGCGGUAAU
Molecule: ribosomal RNA, 383 nt
Filed under: uncultured bacterium
Lineage: Bacteria
Description: bacterial SSU rRNA
Rfam family: Bacterial small subunit ribosomal RNA
Source: RNAcentral